Molecule: long non-coding RNA, 1388 nt
Organism: Lynx canadensis (Canada lynx)
Lineage: Eukaryota; Metazoa; Chordata; Mammalia; Carnivora; Felidae
Exons: 3
Source: RefSeq, a predicted model, not a curated record
CCCUCGGAACGCGCAUGACUGAGCUGCACUGAAGAUCCCGUGGGAGCCCGUGCGCCCCUCUCUCUACUCCUCUGUGAGUAGUGACAUUGUGUCCCCACCCCCACUCCUGCUGUGACCGGUCAGCCCAAACAUGGUGGCCUGAGGGCCGGGAGCUCACUCCCGCCUCUGCCCCACCAUUACAAGGUGUCCUUCCGGAGGAGACUACAGAGGUUGUUAGAGUUCUGGGUAUGGGGGAGGGCACGCUCAUUAUUGCCAGUGAGACAAGGAUCUUCAGACCCCGCGAUGGAAACCAGAGAACCGUUCGUUGAACGUCAGAAAUCUGACAGCAUCAUCAGUGUCCAUCCAGCAAGCCCCGCAGGAUGGACGAGGCCCUCCCGAAUGUCUUCCCAGCCUCAGAACCUGCACCAGCACCUUGAGCAAGUGCGGAGCCCGCGUGGCCCUACUCGAGGAGCCCUGUCCUGAGGAGCCUCCGCUCUGGGCCCCGAAUUGUAGCCCUGAGGCCCCACGGAGCAGGUCUGAGUCUGAGGAUGUCCCUCAGGUACUCAGCGAGCUCGGUUCAGGCCUCCCCUGCUCUAGCAAGGGACACCCCCCUGCAGCCCGCCGGGGCAAACACCGCGGGGUCUUCUGGAUCCUUCUUCUCUGAUCUGGUCCCAGCUUGUCUCGACCCGUCGUUGAGAAGGGAGGUGCCCGGAACUGAAAAGGACGGCCGUCUUCAUGCUCAUCGGUCCUACAGAAUGGGACCCAAAUGCCAGGCUACGACAAGGAGCGAGACAGACAGACUCCAGCCAUCAUGAAGCUCCCGUCCUGGUAGAGGGGGCGGGGGAUGCGGGGAAACGGACGAGGACAACAUCAGAUAGUGACGCUCCGCAGAGCGGAAGCAGGUCCGACGACGAGGCAUGACCAGAGGUCAGGUGGCCUCUGUGAGGGGCUGACAUUCGUGCUGAGAUCUGAGUGACGAGAACAGCUGAAGCGAAGUCCCCAGUGCAGCAGCAGACCCCCUUCUCUGCCGCCUUUCGAAGAGGGAGAGGCGGAGGAGGAAGGACUCAGCGAGCCUCUUCCACACCGGUCCCCACAAGAGCGGGCCCCUGGAGUGCUCUCUCCCUCCUCGUGUCCUAGGGCAGGUGGCUGAAGUAGCCCGGCCGGAAGUCCCCUUCCCCACACCUGAGCAGCUGGAAUGGAGUAAAUUGGGAAAUACCGGCAAGUUGGCCAUUUGUGGAACCAGUCUUGGCAAACGGAUUUUCACGGAAGUGGCUUUCAGAGAACUGAGUUUCCUGAAGUCACUGAGAACCCUGUGGGCUCUCGGGACACUUCUUGCCUGCUUCCAGGUCUCCCUGGAGUUCUAGGCUGGGGCGGGGCUGCUGCCUGAACCCCGGGGGUGUAACCGGACC